RNAcentral lists this ribosomal RNA (397 nucleotides) under uncultured bacterium. RNAcentral's name for it is "partial 16S ribosomal RNA". It matches the Rfam family "Bacterial small subunit ribosomal RNA", at positions 523 to 918 of the family's 1533-position model. The record is from RNAcentral.
AUACGUAGGUGGCAAGCGUUGUCCGGAAUUAUUGGGCGUAAAGCGCGCGCAGGUGGUUCCUUAAGUCUGAUGUGAAAGCCCCCGGCUCAACCGGGGAGGGUCAUUGGAAACUGGGGAACUUGAGUGCAGAAGAGGAUAGUGGAAUUCCAAGUGUAGCGGUGAAAUGCGUAGAGAUUUGGAGGAACACCAGUGGCGAAGGCGACUGGCUGGUCUGUAACGGACACUGAGGCGCGAAAGCGUGGGGAGCAAACAGGAUUAGAUACCCUGGUAGUCCACGCCGUAAACGAUGAGUGCUAAGUGUUGGGGGGUUUCCGCCCCUCAGUGCUGCAGCUAACGCAUUAAGCACUCCGCCUGGGGAGUACGGUCGCAAGACUGAAACUCAAAGGAAUUGACGGGG